GUGCCCUCACCGAGCUCUUCUUCGUCACUGAGAACCGCGCCCAGGAGCUCGGCUUGCUGCAGGAGUACCUGUUUGGCCUUGACUACUGAUGACCACCUUCUCCGCUGUGCAGCACAGGCUCUGCAGAACAUUGCUGCCAUCAGCCUGGCCAUCAACUACUCAAAUAAGGCCACCCACCUCUGGAAUGUUCAGUGUUAGCCUCCCUGUGAUGUGCAUGAGCUGGUUAAUCUGUCCACAGGGGUUAAGAACAGACCUCCAGCCUCAUUCAAGAAAAUUGUGUGGCUUCAGUGCCCAGCUCUAUUUGAGC
This 307-nucleotide long non-coding RNA is filed under the name Castor canadensis (American beaver). Its description in RNAcentral is "lncRNA (ENSCCNG00000027245.1)". The record is from RNAcentral. Lineage: Eukaryota; Metazoa; Chordata; Mammalia; Rodentia; Castoridae.